Long non-coding RNA from Manis pentadactyla (Chinese pangolin), 545 nucleotides. RefSeq lists it as uncharacterized. The record is from RefSeq and is a predicted model, not a curated record. Lineage: Eukaryota; Metazoa; Chordata; Mammalia; Pholidota; Manidae. The transcript has 3 exons.
AGAAAAUCAGGUUGUCUUGAUAAUGACAUAUACAUAAGGGCUUACUGUGUUUUCAGCUACCACUAUGAAAGGAAGUGUCUCACCAUUUCCAGGCAUCUCAUUAUUUUCUUAGUCUCAAGAAGAUUCCAAAUGACCUUUAGAAACAUUCUGAAAAAUACUCCCUGAUGCAAACUUUAGAGAAAAAAAAUAAUGCCCUGAGCAAUCAGACACAGCCUGCUACUGUUUGCCAGCCAUUAAUAUGCCCUAAGGAUCUACAGUGGGAGGCAAAACCUAGAGGUUGUUUUUCCAAAUAUUUGCAGGGUGAAAGCUGUCCUAGUCCAGUGGGUAUGUUUGUGCAGCUGCCUUGGACAACAUCCCCUGAUGGGGCUCUGCUCUCUCCAAAUGAGUGGCUCCGGGGAGAAAGAGAAGCAUUAUAAAUGCAUUUGCUAAACUAUUAUAUUUUGUGGAGGCCAGAAGUGAGGUCACUGGAUCUGGUCACCAGAAGUGAUAUCACUGGAAGUAACACCAGAACCAGAAGUGACAACACUGGAUAUGAGAUCAGCCCA